GUCGGCGUGCUGACGGUGACGCCCUCUCCGGUGACGCUCACGCAGGAUCUGCCGGGCCGCAUCUCCGCCUACCGCGUCGCGGAGGUGCGCGCGCGGGUCAAUGGCAUCGUGCUGCGCCGGCACUUUACGGAAGGCAGCGACGUCAAGGAAGGCCAGGUGCUCUACGACAUCGA
RNAcentral lists this non-coding RNA (173 nucleotides) under Chthoniobacter flavus Ellin428. Its description in RNAcentral is "Burkholderia RNA 14". It matches the Rfam family "Burkholderia RNA 14". Rfam says of the family: Co-purified with Hfq, expression confirmed by Northern blot. Putative functional homologue of PA-SraF. Overlaps coding sequence. Lineage: Bacteria; Pseudomonadati; Verrucomicrobiota; Spartobacteria; Chthoniobacterales; Chthoniobacteraceae. The record is from Rfam by way of RNAcentral.